RNAcentral lists this ribosomal RNA (469 nucleotides) under Aegla paulensis. Its description in RNAcentral is "partial 16S ribosomal RNA". It matches the Rfam family "Bacterial large subunit ribosomal RNA", at positions 1932 to 2601 of the family's 2925-position model. The record is from RNAcentral. Lineage: Eukaryota; Metazoa; Arthropoda; Malacostraca; Decapoda; Aeglidae.
CGCGGUAUUUUGACUGUGCGAAGGUAGCAUAAUCAUUUGUCUUUUAAUUGAAGACUUGUAUGAAUGGCUGAACGAGAAAAUAACUGUCUCUUUAAAAAAUCUUGAACUUUACUUUUUAGUGAAAAGGCUUAAAUAACUUUAAAGGACGAUAAGACCCUAUAAAUCUUUAUAUUAUUUUUCUUAAACUUUCAAAUUAUAUUUUAAAAGAAAGAAAAGAAAAAAAAUAUUAUAUUGGGGAGAUAAAAAUAUAAUUUUUAACUGUUUAAAAUAUAAAACAAUAAUUUUUGAUUUAUUAAAAAUUGAUCCUUUUUAAAGAUUUUAAGAUUAAGUUACUUUAGGGAUAACAGCGUAAUUUUUUUUGAGAGUUCUUAUCGAAAAAAAAGUUUGCGACCUCGAUGUUGAAUUAAAAAUAUCCUUAUAAGUGCAGAAGCUAUAAAGGAAAGUCUGUUCGACUUUUAAAAUUUUACGU